RNAcentral lists this long non-coding RNA (727 nucleotides) under Spirodela polyrhiza (greater duckweed). RNAcentral's name for it is "long non-coding RNA (SPOL_LNC000332)". The record is from RNAcentral. Lineage: Eukaryota; Viridiplantae; Streptophyta; Magnoliopsida; Alismatales; Araceae.
AAGCCGUCUUCCCCAAGCGAAAUCGUUUGACUGCCGCAACUGAACGAUCGAUCGUCGCUCCGGCCUUCAUAUCUUCGCCCCCCGCUGCAUCUUCAGGCCUCCUCGUCUCAGCAAGAUGGCGGCGCCGCCACUCUCGCCUUCUUCCUCUUCUGCCUCCAGUGUCAACCUCUUCCGAGACAAGGCCUUCCGGCGGUCUUCCUCUCUUCCUCCUCUCCGCACUUCUCGGGUACCCAAAGCUUCCGCCUCCUGCGCUUCUGCGACGGAGCGCGAGCGAGAGAGGGCCGAUGGUCAUAGGUACUAUCACUAUUUCCCCGGAAGCAGUGAGGGCGGUAGAGUGGGUGUCGGACGCGGCGGAGCGAUGGUGGCGGAGACGCUGUACGAUGUUCUGGAGGUGGCGGUGGGGGCAACCGGGCAGGAGAUCAAGGCGGCGUACAGGAGGUUGGCGCGCGCCUGCCACCCGGACGUCGUGAGGGCGGACAGAAGGGGCGGCGGAUCCGCCGCUGAGUUCAUGCGGAUCCACGCCGCCUACGCCACGCUCUCUGAUCCCGAGAAGCGAGCCGAGUACGAUCGCCGAAUCGUGACGACCUCGGCGAUGCGCCGGCGGCCCCCUUUCGGCUGGGAAUCUUCAUCGUCCGCAUCCUUCUAUUCUCCGGCAUCCCCUCGCUCGUCUUCCCCCUCGUCUGGCUACAGGCGGCCGAGGACAUGGGAGACCGAUCAGUGUUGGUAG